This 429-nucleotide ribosomal RNA is filed under the name Acidobacteriota bacterium. RNAcentral's name for it is "Acidobacteria bacterium partial 16S ribosomal RNA". It matches the Rfam family "Bacterial small subunit ribosomal RNA", at positions 355 to 776 of the family's 1533-position model. Lineage: Bacteria; Pseudomonadati; Acidobacteriota. The record is from RNAcentral.
UGGGGAAUUUUGGACAAUGGGGGAAACCCUGAUCCAGCCAUCCCGCGUGUGCGAUGAAGGCCUUCGGGUUGUAAAGCACUUUUUGCAGGAAAUAAACGUCAUGGGUUAAUACCCCGUGAAACUGACGGUACCUGCAGAAUAAGCACCGGCUAACUACGUGCCAGCAGCCGCGGUAAUACGUAGGGUGCAAGCGUUAAUCGGAAUUACUGGGCGUAAAGCGUGCGCAGGCGGUUCGGAAAGAAAGAUGUGAAAUCCCAGAGCUCAACUUUGGAACUGCAUUUUUAACUACCGGGCUAGAGUGUGUCAGAGGGAGGUGGAAUUCCGCGUGUAGCAGUGAAAUGCGUAGAUAUGCGGAGGAACACCGAUGGCGAAGGCAGCCUCCUGGGAUAACACUGACGCUCAUGCACGAAAGCGUGGGGAGCAAACAGG